This 397-nucleotide ribosomal RNA is filed under the name uncultured bacterium. RNAcentral's name for it is "partial 16S ribosomal RNA". It matches the Rfam family "Bacterial small subunit ribosomal RNA", at positions 523 to 918 of the family's 1533-position model. The record is from RNAcentral.
AUACGUAGGGGGCAAGCGUUAUCCGGAUUUACUGGGUGUAAAGGGAGCGUAGACGGAAGGUCAAGUCUGAUGUGAAAGCCCGCGGCUCAACUGCGGGACUGCAUUGGAAACUGGUCAUCUGGAGUGCAGGAGGGGUAAGCGGAAUUCCCGGUGUAGCGGUGAAAUGCGUAGAGAUCGGGAGGAACGCCAGUGGCGAAGGCGGGUAACUGGACUGCAACUGACGCUGAGGCGCGAAAGUGUGGGGAGCAAACAGGAUUAGAUACCCUGGUAGUCCACACUGUAAACGAUGAAUGCUAGGUGUAGGAGGUAUCGACCCCUUCUGUGCCGCAGUAAACACAGUAAGCAUUCCGCCUGGGGAGUACGGUCGCAAGAUUAAAACUCAAAGGAAUUGACGGGG